GGCGAGAUGGCAGAGCGGUUGAAUGCACUGGCUUCGAAACCCAGAAAUCGUUAAUUCGGUUCGUGAGUUCAAAUCUCACUCUCGCCACCA
This 90-nucleotide transfer RNA is filed under the name Pseudomonas syringae pv. actinidiae. Its description in RNAcentral is "tRNA-Ser". It matches the Rfam family "tRNA". From Rfam's summary of the family: Transfer RNA (tRNA) molecules are approximately 80 nucleotides in length. Their secondary structure includes four short double-helical elements and three loops (D, anti-codon, and T loops). Lineage: Bacteria; Pseudomonadati; Pseudomonadota; Gammaproteobacteria; Pseudomonadales; Pseudomonadaceae. The record is from RNAcentral.